GUCGUACGUUUUGAAAAACGAGCCAGGGAGUGUGUCUGAUUGGCAAGUCUAACCGGAGCAUCCGGGGAGGCACAGGGAAACCGACAUGGCCGCAGCGCUUUGCGCGAGGGCCGCCGUCUUCAAGGGCGGGGAGCCACUCGGACACGACCCGAAUCCGGACGAUCUACGCAUGGACAAGGUGAAGCGUGCCGAAAGGCACGUGGAAGCCUGUUAGAGUUGGUGUCCUACAAUACCCUCUCGUGAUCUAUGUGUAGGGGUGAAAGGCCCAUCGAGUCCGGCAACAGCUGGUUCCAACCGAAACAUGUCGAAGCAUGACCUCCGCCGAGGUAGUUCGUGGGGUAGAGCGACCGAUUGGUGUGACCGCCUCCGAGAGGAGUCGGCACACCUGUCAAACUCCAAACCUACGAACGCUGUUUGACGCGGGGAUUCCGGUGUGCGGGGUAAGCCUGUGCACCAGGAGGGGAACAACCCAGAGAUAGGUUAAGGUCCCCAAGUGUGGAUUAAGUGUAAUCCUCUGAAGGUGGUCUCGAGCCCUAGACAGCCGGGAGGUGAGCUUAGAAGCAGCUACCCUCUAAGAAAAGCGUAACAGCUUACCGGCCGAGGUUUGAGGCGCCCAAAAUGAUCGGGACUCAAAUCCACCACCGAGACCUAUCCGUGCCCUUGAUCGGGCAAUCGAGUAGGUUGGCGCUCUCAUUGGGUGGAAGCAGGGGUGAGAACUCCUGUGGACCGAUGAGUGACGAAAAUCCUGGCCAUAGUAGCAGCGAUAGUCGGGUGAGAACCCCGACGGCCUAAUGGAUAAGGGUUCCUCAGCACUGCUGAUCAGCUGAGGGUUAGCCGGUCCUAAGUCUCACCGCAACUCGACUGAGACAAAAUGGGAAACGGGUUAAUAUUCCCGUGCCAUCAUACAGUGAAAGUCGACGCCCUGGGGUCGAUCACGCCGGGCUUUCGCCCGGUCGAACCGUCCAACUCCGUGGAAGCCGUAACGGCACGAAGCGGACGAACGGCGGCA
Molecule: ribosomal RNA, 1009 nt
Filed under: Haloarcula sp. S1AR25-4
Lineage: Archaea; Methanobacteriati; Methanobacteriota; Halobacteria; Halobacteriales; Haloarculaceae
Description: partial 23S ribosomal RNA
Rfam family: Archaeal large subunit ribosomal RNA
Source: RNAcentral